Molecule: long non-coding RNA, 1522 nt
Organism: Bos indicus x Bos taurus (hybrid cattle)
Lineage: Eukaryota; Metazoa; Chordata; Mammalia; Artiodactyla; Bovidae
Source: Ensembl
GCACCGCCCCACACCUCCAGCGUGCCCCUAGGCUUAGCAGCCAACAAGCACUGAGCGCCCCCUGGAUGGCGCGGUCCACAGGUCUCCUUGACUCACCCUCCAGCCCCGGAGGGCCGGGCUCAACCUCGGCGGACCGGGCGCCGCCCGCACGGCCCCGGCUGCACCACCGCCCCGGACUGUGCCGGCGCACGAGGCCGCCCUCCUCGGUGCCCCCGGGUGGGGCAGGUCGAGCCCGGUGCGCUAUCCCUUUAAGCCCGGGCGAGAUGGGAGCUGUCAGCGACAGCCGAGGCUAGCGCGGGACGUCGCCGCCCGCCAGGCCGGAGCGCGGAGCCGCGGAGAGGGCGGAGAGCCGAGGGGGCGGUGGGGCCCGGGCGCGGCGGGUCCCCUCGCCGCCCACUGUGCGCCGGAACCCUGGGCCCGGCGAGUGGCGGGCGGCACCCCAGUGUAAUGCAGAGAAUGUGAGGGCAGCGCAGGCCGGUGGAGAGGAGGCGGCGGCGCGGGAGAGGGCGUCGGCAAGAUAGACGGAGAGGCAGCCGGAGAGACGGAGGACCGGGAUCCGGGCGGGUGCAGGUGGGAGAAGGGAAACGAGAUAGGAGAGGCAGCGACAGAAAAGAGGGAAAAAGAGGGAAAGAAAGGAGCGGGAGAGCACGCGGCUGCGGGCGGCGGCGCAGGCGAGGAGCAGGGAGCCCGCGCCUCUGGGUGGGAGCACCAGAAGCCGGAGUCAGGCGCCGGGGCCGGAGAUCAGGCGGAGAGCACGGCCGCAGCCGGGCCGGCAGGGUGAAGCAGCAGGGACGCCCGAGGGGGCCCCUCUGGGAACACCGGCGGGUCUAAGGCGGGGCCAGCCCGGUAGGCCCGCAGGGUCACUCCGCAGGCUCCGCGGGCCGCGCUCCGGGGGCUCCCGGCGGGCCGGGGCCUUUGUGAACGCCCCAGGAGGGCAAGAGUCGGGAGUGCGGAGCCGGUUGUGCGGCGGCGGGGGUGUGUGCGCGCCCAGGUGUGCGCGUGUGUGCACGAGUGUGAGCGCCCAAGCAGUUGGGAGCGCGCGUUAGGGAUUCUGCUGGCAUCGCAGUGUGGAGAACUGGAGGCAGGAGCGGGGCGCGCAGGGGAGCGCGGGGCCCUCCCGUGCACACGCACACGCACCGCGCGCGCGCACACACACACACACAUACACAUACACACAUACAUACACUCGCGCACACGCCCUCCCUGCCUCGCUCGUUGCCGCGGCCACCAUCUCAGAGUCGAGCCCUGCGUAGCGGGAACCCGAGCCGGAGCGGGAACCAGAGAGGAGCCCAGCGGGGGAAUGCGGCCCCGGAGCGGAGCUGCGCGCCGACUGCGCGCCCGGGACGCCUCCUGCCCUCACAGGCCCUGAGGCCCCCGAGCCCACAGGCAAAGAGAGAGAUCGCCAGGCCCCCUCCCAGUUACACUCCCUACAAGCCCACCUGACCUGAGGUAAGACGCUGCUCUGGGCCUGGGAGGUGCGGGUGGGCCAUGUGGGGUGGAUGUGGUGUCCCUGAGGGAGAGG